AGUGAACGCUGGCGGUAGGCCUAACACAUGCAAGUCGAACGGCAGCACAGUAAGAGCUUGCUCUUACGGGUGGCGAGUGGCGGACGGGUGAGGAAUACAUCGGAAUCUACUUUUUCGUGGGGGAUAACGUAGGGAAACUUACGCUAAUACCGCAUACGACCUACGGGUGAAAGCAGGGGAUCUUCGGACCUUGCGCGAUUGAAUGAGCCGAUGUCGGAUUAGCUAGUUGGCGGGGUAAAGGCCCACCAAGGCGACGAUCCGUAGCUGGUCUGAGAGGAUGAUCAGCCACACUGGAACUGAGACACUGUCCAGACUCCUACGGGAGGCAGAAGUGGGGAAUAUUGGACAAUGGGCGCAAGCCUGAUCCAGCCAUACCGCGUGGGUGAAGAAGGCAUUCGGGUUGUAAAGCCCUUUUGUUGGGAAAGAAAAGCAGAAGGUUAAUACCCCGCUGUUCUGACGGUACCCAAAGAAUAAGCACCGGCUAACUUCGUG
RNAcentral lists this ribosomal RNA (492 nucleotides) under uncultured bacterium. RNAcentral describes it as "partial 16S ribosomal RNA". It matches the Rfam family "Bacterial small subunit ribosomal RNA", at positions 29 to 507 of the family's 1533-position model. The record is from RNAcentral.